Molecule: transfer RNA, 74 nt
Filed under: Mycobacteriales bacterium
Lineage: Bacteria; Bacillati; Actinomycetota; Actinomycetes; Mycobacteriales
Also listed under: 1 other name
Description: tRNA-Leu
Rfam family: tRNA
About the family: Transfer RNA (tRNA) molecules are approximately 80 nucleotides in length. Their secondary structure includes four short double-helical elements and three loops (D, anti-codon, and T loops). Further hydrogen bonds mediate the characteristic L-shaped molecular structure. tRNAs have two regions of fundamental functional importance: the anti-codon, which is responsible for specific mRNA codon recognition, and the 3' end, to which the tRNAs corresponding amino acid is attached (by aminoacyl-tRNA synthetases). tRNAs cope with the degeneracy of the genetic code in two manners: having more than one tRNA (with a specific anti-codon) for a particular amino acid; and 'wobble' base-pairing, i.e. permitting non-standard base-pairing at the 3rd anti-codon position.
Source: RNAcentral
GCCCCCGUGGCCCAACUGGCAGAGGCUGGUCCCUUAAAAGGGCCGAGAUGUCGGUUCGAAUCCGACCGGGGGUA